GAUGAACGCUGGCGGCGUGCCUAAUACAUGCAAGUCGAGCGAACAGACGAGGAGCUUGCUCCUCUGACGUUAGCGGCGGACGGGUGAGUAACACGUGGAUAACCUACAUAUAAGACUGGGAUAACUUCGGGAAACCGGAGCUAAUACCGGAUAAUAUAUUGAACCGCAUGGUUCAAUAGUGAAAGACGGUUUUGCUGUCACUUAUAGAUGGAUCCGCGCCGCAUUAGCUAGUUGGUAAGGUAACGGCUUACCAAGGCGACGAUGCGUAGCCGACCUGAGAGGGUGAUCGGCCACACUGGAACUGAGACACGGUCCAGACUCCUACGGGAGGCAGCAGUAGGGAAUCUUCCGCAAUGGGCGAAAGCCUGACGGAGCAACGCCGCGUGAGUGAUGAAGGUCUUCGGAUCGUAAAACUCUGUUAUUAGGGAAGAACAAAUGUGUAAGUAACUAUGCACGUCUUGACGGUACCUAAUCAGAAAGCCACGGCUAACUACGUG
This 497-nucleotide ribosomal RNA is filed under the name uncultured bacterium. Its description in RNAcentral is "partial 16S ribosomal RNA". It matches the Rfam family "Bacterial small subunit ribosomal RNA", at positions 28 to 507 of the family's 1533-position model. The record is from RNAcentral.